GAUGAACGCUGGCGGCGUGCCUAAUACAUGCAAGUCGAGCGAACAGACGCGGAGCUUGCUCCUCUGACGUUAGCGGCGGACGGGUGAGUGACACGUGGAUAACCUACCUAUAAGACUGGGAUAACUUCGGGAAACCGGAGCUAAUACCGGAUAAUAUAUUGAACCGCAUGGUUCAAUAGUGAAAGACGGUUUUGCUGUCACUUAUAGAUGGAUCCGCGCCGCAUUAGCUAGUUGGUAAGGUAACGGCUUACCAAGGCGACGAUGCGUAGCCGACCUGAGAGGGUGAUCGGCGACACUGGAGCUGAGACACGGUCCAGACUCCUGCGGGAGGCAGCAGUAGGGAAUCUUCCGCAAUGGGCGAAAGCCUGACGGAGCGACGCCGCGUGAGUGAUGAAGGUCUUCGGAUCGUAAAACUCUGUUAUUAGGGAAGAACAAAUGUGUAAGUAACUAUGCACGUCUUGACGGUACCUAAUCAGAAAGCCACGGCUAACUACGUG
Molecule: ribosomal RNA, 497 nt
Filed under: uncultured bacterium
Lineage: Bacteria
Description: partial 16S ribosomal RNA
Rfam family: Bacterial small subunit ribosomal RNA
Source: RNAcentral